This 520-nucleotide ribosomal RNA is filed under the name uncultured Glomus. RNAcentral describes it as "SSU rRNA". It matches the Rfam family "Eukaryotic small subunit ribosomal RNA", at positions 569 to 1091 of the family's 1831-position model. Lineage: Eukaryota; Fungi; Glomeromycota; Glomeromycetes; Glomerales; Glomeraceae. The record is from RNAcentral.
AGCAGCCGCGGUAAUUCCAGCUCCAAUAGCGUAUAUUAAAGUUGUUGCAGUUAAAAAGCUCGUAGUUGAAUUUCGGGGUUAGUAGGUUGGUCAUGCCUCUGGUAUGUACUGGUCUCACUGAUUCCUCCUUCCUGAUGAGCCGUAAUGCCAUUAAUUUGGUGUUGCGGGGAAUUUGGACUGUUACUUUGAAAAAAUUAGAGUGUUUAAAGCAAGCUAACGCUUGAAUACGUUAGCAUGGAAUAAUGAAGUAGGACGUUCGAUCCUAUUUUGUUGGUUUCUAGGAUUGACGUAAUGAUUAAUAGGGAUAGUUGGGGGCAUUAGUAUUCAAUUGUCAGAGGUGAAAUUCUUGGAUUUAUUGAAGACUAACUACUGCGAAAGCAUUUGCCAAGGAUGUUUUCAUUAAUCAAGAACGAAAGUUAGGGGAUCGAAGACGAUCAGAUACCGUCGUAGUCUUAACCAUAAACUAUGCCGACUAGGGAUCGGAUGAUGUUAAUUUUUAAUGACUCAUUCGGCGCCUUAC